GCCUCGAUACCCGAAGAAGCCUUUUCAAGCUCUGCCAAGAACUGUCUUGCAGCUUCAGAACUCCCAAAUAUCAUCUCUUCAGUCUCGUCUUCACUAUCAAUAACACCUUCUCCUCCAGAAGGUUCAUGAUCCCCUUCUCCUCCAGAAGGUUCAUGAUCCACUUCCUUGCCUUCAAGACUAAACUCACGAGAAGAAACAUUGUCAGCGGCUGGGAUUUUGUCUCCAUCUUCUUCAGCAAUGUUUCCUUCAGAAACUUUCCCGGCC
RNAcentral lists this long non-coding RNA (264 nucleotides) under Brassica napus (rape). Its description in RNAcentral is "long non-coding RNA (BNAP_LNC020220)". The record is from RNAcentral. Lineage: Eukaryota; Viridiplantae; Streptophyta; Magnoliopsida; Brassicales; Brassicaceae.